Molecule: long non-coding RNA, 400 nt
Organism: Triticum dicoccoides
Lineage: Eukaryota; Viridiplantae; Streptophyta; Magnoliopsida; Poales; Poaceae
Exons: 2
Source: RefSeq, a predicted model, not a curated record
AGAGAACUUGCAAGUUCCGGAAACUGGGUGUUGUAUGACAAGAAUACUCAAUACAGUCAGAAAGAGAGGGCGUGAACAAAAUUGCUAAUGCAAAUAUCGAAUGCUGCUGAAACAAUUAGGGAUGUUAAGUAAGAAGCUUGUACAGCAGGCUGCUAUGAUUGGUGUGCAGGCUGGAAAGAAGUUUGAGUUCAAAUUGUUCGAAGGCAUGGUCAAAGCCCCGGUCCAAAAAAAGCUUAAGAAGUCUUUCCUAUCUCAUCCGUGAUGCGUAUGAUGUGUUGCAUUGCCAAUGGACUUGUAUUACUAAAAAUCUUCUGCAUUGUAUCGACUAUAUUUGUUGGCCGUGUGUGUCCACUAUGUUCUAUGCUAGCCAUGUGAGGUCUACAUAUAUAGACUUGCUAAA